Molecule: non-coding RNA, 946 nt
Filed under: Gekko swinhonis (Peking gecko)
Lineage: Eukaryota; Metazoa; Chordata; Lepidosauria; Squamata; Gekkonidae
Description: 12S ribosomal RNA
Rfam family: Bacterial small subunit ribosomal RNA
Source: RNAcentral
UUGGUCCUAAACUUAGAGUUAUUUAUAAGCUGAUUUUAUACAUGCAAGUAUCCGCAACCCAGUGCAUACAGCCUACUUAAACAGAGCAGAUAUCAGGCGCACACACUGUAGCCCACAACAUCUAGCCAUGCCACACCCCCACGGAACCCAGCAGUAAUAAACAUUAAGCCAAUGAGCUACAGCUCGACUUAGAUACAGCUUUUUCCCCGCCGGUAAACUCCGUGCCAGCCACCGCGGUUACACGAAGGGCGUAGAAUAACCCCACACGGCGUAAAAAGUGACUAGAAGCCAAUUUUAAACACAGGGCCCACAACUCAGAUAUAGUUGUAAAAUACCCACAUCUAAAAGGAAACCCUUCACCCCUAUUAACAAAUCAGCUUUGACCCCACGAAACCUGAGAAACAAACUAGGAUUAGAUACCCUACUAUGCCCAGACAUAAACCCAGGCAGAUCCCCCCACUACCCUGCCCGCCAGAGAAUUACACGCACCCUAGCGUAAAACUCAAAGGACUUGACGGUGUCCCAUACCGACCUAGAGGAGCCUGUCCUAUAAUCGAUAACCCACGAUAAACCUCACCCCCCAUUGCAUAACACUCCAUUUUCAACCUAUAUACCGCCGUCGCCAGCCUACCUUAUGAAAGACAAUAGAAGUGGGCAAAAUAGCUUACCACUAAAACGUCAGGUCAAGGUGUAGUUAAUUGAGGGGCAGUGAUGGGCUACAUUUUCUAUCAAUAGAAGCCCCCAGCAGUAUGAAACUAGUGCUAUAAGAAGGAUUUAGCAGUAAACGGGGCGAGAGCUGCCCGCUUGAAGAGCGCCCUGAGACGCGUACACACCGCCCGUCACCCUCCUCAACAAGUAUAAAUAAAAUUAACUAAAUCACCGCAACAUAACCAGAUGAGGCAAGUCGUAACAUGGUAAGUGUACUGGAAAGUGCACUUGGCAAAAC